RNAcentral lists this ribosomal RNA (253 nucleotides) under uncultured bacterium. Its description in RNAcentral is "partial 16S ribosomal RNA". It matches the Rfam family "Bacterial small subunit ribosomal RNA", at positions 524 to 776 of the family's 1533-position model. The record is from RNAcentral.
UACAGAGGUGGCAAGCGUUGUUCGGAAUUACUGGGCGUAAAGGGCGCGUAGGUGGCUAUCUAAGUCAGACGUGAAAUCCCCCGGCUUAACCUGGGAACUGCGUCUGAUACUGGACGGCUUGAGUAUGGGAGAGGAACGUAGAAUUCCAGGUGUAGCGGUGAAAUGCGUAGAUAUCUGGAGGAACACCGGUGGCGAAGGCGGCAUCCUGGACCAACACUGACACUGAGGAGCGAAAGCCAGGGGAGCAAACAGG